UACGUAGGGGGCAAGCGUUGUCCGGAUUUAUUGGGCGUAAAGAGCGUGUAGGCGGCCAGGCAGGUCCGUUGUGAAAACUCGAGGCUCAACCUCGAGACGUCGAUGGAAACCGUCUGGCUAGAGUCCGGAAGAGGAGAGUGGAAUUCCUGGUGUAGCGGUGAAAUGCGCAGAUAUCAGGAAGAACACCUAUGGCGAAGGCAGCUCUCUGGGACGGUACUGACGCUGAGACGCGAAAGUGUGGGGAGCGAACAGG
RNAcentral lists this ribosomal RNA (253 nucleotides) under uncultured bacterium. Its description in RNAcentral is "partial 16S ribosomal RNA". It matches the Rfam family "Bacterial small subunit ribosomal RNA", at positions 524 to 776 of the family's 1533-position model. The record is from RNAcentral.